This 399-nucleotide long non-coding RNA is filed under the name Oryza sativa Indica Group (long-grained rice). Its description in RNAcentral is "lncRNA OsIR64_05g0004280". Lineage: Eukaryota; Viridiplantae; Streptophyta; Magnoliopsida; Poales; Poaceae. The record is from RNAcentral. RNAcentral also lists the same sequence under 2 other names.
CUCGCAACGGUUGACGAGUUCAAACACCACCGCGCGCCGGCGCCGCCCACCCCGCCAUCUUCUCGACGAAGAGAUGCCGCCUCCGCCUCCGCCUCCGCUUCCGCUUCUACUCCGCCGCGCACCCCGCCCUUUGAUCGGGUGAGGCGCUCCGGUGGUCGCAGCGGGCGGGCAUGGCGCUCUCUGGAAGCUCCUUUUUCUCGGUUUGGGCUGCGCGCCGCGGGCGGCUGCCCGGUCGACGCGCUUCUGCGGGAGAAGUUCUUGGUACGGGAGGUGGUGACUGACGGAGAUUUAGGAGAUUGGGAUGUGGGUUUUGGUUGUCAUGAGGAAGAGUACGAACCAUUUUGGCAGAGGAUAGAUAUGGUCCUGGCAUCAUGCAACGUGCAACUGGAUUGUGGAUGA